UCAGACUGCUGUGUCUCUCUCAGCUGCUCUCUGACUGCUGUGUCUCUCUCGGCUGCUCUCAGACUACUGUGUCUCUCUCGGCUGCUUUCAGACUGCUGUAUCUCUCUCGGCUGCUCUCAGACUGCUGUGUCUCUCUCGGCUGCUCUCAGACUGCUGUGUCUCUCUCGGCUGCUCUCAGACUACUGUGUCUCUCUCAGCUGCUCUCAGAAUGCCGUCUUGGCCAACCUUAGCUCGUUCUAAAAACCUAUCCAAAAAACACAUAGUUGGUUUGGAAUCUGACCCAAGUUCCAAUCCUUGUGGGUUAUUGUUGACUCUGUUCAAUAUUAUUUUCCCUGCUCUACAUCUGUUUCUGCCUGGACCUAGUCCCAAUGAUAAGGCCAGAUGGAGGACUACCUUCAGCAGGGUUUCUUUAUGUCUGGGUACUCAGCAUGCUGCGUCACAGAGCAAAGCUAACCAGUAUUCAUAAAGACAUACGCUUCUCCUCCUGAUUCCAGCUGAUUCAGCUUAGUCUUCUGAAGUUGUAUCUUAUUCGUUGUUUACAAUCUCUCUGCUGUGUUUAACUGGAGGGGAAUCAAACAGACACAAACAAGCUUUGAAGAGCAAAGGGCACACUGUCGCUUUUUAGCCGUUCAAGAAGAAUUGGUUGAAAAAGCCAUGUACGAAUAAAAGUAGGAUAGAGGAACAGAGGAUUUGUGUGUGUUGUCGCUGAGGUUGGAACCACCAGUGUGUGUGUGUUGUCGCUGAGGUUGGAACCACCAGUGUGUGUGUGUUGUCGCUGAGGUUGGAACCACCAGUGUGUGUGUGUUGUCGCUGAGGUUGGAACCACCAGUGUGUGUGUGUUGUCGCUGAGGUUGGAGCCACCAGUGUGUGUGUGUUGUCGCUGAGGUUGGAACCACCAGUGUGUGUGUGUUGUCGCUGAGGUUGGAACCACCAGUGUGUGUGUGUUGUCGCUGAGGUUGGAGCCACCAGUGUGUGUGUGUUGUCGCUGAGGUUGGAGCCACCAGUGUGUGUGUGUUGUCGCUGAGGUUGGAACCACCAGUGUGUGUGUGUUGUCGCUGAGGUUGGAGCCACCAGUGUGUGUGUGUUGUUGCUGAGGUUGGAGCCACCAGUGUGUGUGUGUUGUCGCUGAGGUUGGAACCACCAGUGUGUGUGUGUUGUCGCUGAGGUUGGAACCACCAGUGUGUGUGUGUUGUCGCUGAGGUUGGAGCCACCAGUGUGUGUGUGUUGUCGCUGAGGUUGGAACCACCAGUGUGUGUGUGUUGUCGCUGAGGUUGGAGCCACCAGUGUGUGUGUGUUGUCGCUGAGGUUGGAGCCACCAGUGUGUGUGUGUUGUCGCUGAGGUUGGAGCCACCAGUGUGUGUGUGUUGUCGCUGAGGUUGGAGCCACCAGUGUGUGUGUGUUGUCGCUGAGGUUGGAGCCACCAGUGUGUGUGUGUUGUCGCUGAGGUUGGAGCCACCAGUGUGUGUGUGUUGUCGCUGAGGUUGGAGCCACCAGUGUGUGUGUGUUGUCGCUGAGGUUGGAGCCACCAGUGUGUGUGUGUUGUCGCUGAGGUUGGAGCCACCAGUGUGUGUGUUGUUGCUGAGGUUGGAGCCACCAGUGUGUGUGUGUUGUCGCUGAGGUUGGAGCCACCAGUGUGUGUGUGUUGUCGCUGAGGUUGGAGCCACCAGUGUGUGUGUGUUGUCGCUGAGGUUGGAGCCACCAGUGUGUGUGUGUUGUCGCUGAGGUUGGAACCACCAGUGUGUGUGUGUUGUUGCUGAGGUUGGAACCACCAGUGUGUGUGUGUUGUCGCUGAGGUUGGAACCACCAGUGUGUGUGUGUUGUCGCUGAGGUUGGAACCACCAGUGUGUGUGUGUUGUCGCUGAGGUUGGAACCACCAGUGUGUGUGUGUUGUCGCUGAGGUUGGAACCACCAGUGUGUGUGUGUUGUCGCUGAGGUUGGAGCCACCAGUGUGUGUGUGUUGUCGCUGAGGUUGGAGCCACCAGUGUGUGUGUGUUGUUGCUGAGGUUGGAGCCACCAGUGUGUUUUCAGGGAGUGUGGUUGAAGGAGCUACAAAUCUUAGAAUGCAGCAGGUUGCUGUUAAGUGAGAUUGGUUGGUCGGUCUCUGUCUGUCUGUCUGUCUGUCUGUCUGUCUGUCUGUCUGUCUGACUGUCUGCUGUGGCAUCACCACACUCCUACUCUCUGAGAUAAAGCUUUUUAAAGAACACUCUGCCUUUGACCUAAAUGAGUCUGUCUCUGCUCUCUGCCUCCAGGGAUGUGACUUAUGAAGUUCUAGAGAUGCUACUUUAUGGGCCUUGGAUGAAAACCAAAGUCUUGUCAGUGGUGCAACAGGGUGUUCUGAUAGCUCUGAUAGCACGACUGAGCACCGAAGGAUAUAACAGGGAGAAAGAAACUACAAAAGAACCAGUCAUGAAGAGGACUGUGUCAACUGAUUCUCUUUCCUCUCAUUUCUCUCCCUGUUCUCCUCAAAACAACCAUUGACACACCAAAGCAUUAUAGAACACGUUUUAAAAGGAAUGUAUGUUCGAACACAAAACACACAAAUCAUGCAGACACAGAACAGUGCAGAUAUGUUGACAUG
Long non-coding RNA from Oncorhynchus keta (chum salmon), 2578 nucleotides. RefSeq lists it as uncharacterized. The transcript has 3 exons. The record is from RefSeq and is a predicted model, not a curated record. NCBI's taxonomy places the organism in Eukaryota, Metazoa, Chordata, Actinopteri, Salmoniformes, Salmonidae.